Long non-coding RNA from Octopus bimaculoides (California two-spot octopus), 713 nucleotides. RefSeq lists it as uncharacterized. NCBI's taxonomy places the organism in Eukaryota, Metazoa, Mollusca, Cephalopoda, Octopoda, Octopodidae. The record is from RefSeq and is a predicted model, not a curated record.
UCUGAAGUUGUUGAUCGCGGAGAACAGACAGAAGAGCAAGAAAAGCUCCACAAGGCUCCGGCAGGGGAUUGUGGCGAACCUUGCUGUACUCUUUCACCACAACUUUCUCUCAAUCUUUCUCCCUGUUUCUGUUGUGCCUGUAAUUCAAAGGGUCAGCCUUGUCACACACUGUGUCACGCUGAAUAUCCCCCGAGAACUACGUUAAGGGUACACGUGUCUGUGGAGUGCUCAGCCACUUGCACGUUAAUUUCACGAGCAGGCUGUUCCGUUGAUCGGAUCGACUGGAACCCUCGACGUCGUAAGCGACGGAGGGCCAACAACAACAACGAAUAAUGAUAAGUUUAAUGAUAAUAAUAAUACAGUAGAAGCUCACAAGUCACGCAGCUUAAAUCUAUGUCUCCGUCUGGACCAUUAAUGCAUAAACCAAGGCGGGAACCUCAAGCUAGAAAUUAUCAAAUCUACUGCAAGACACAAAUUUAAAAUCAGGACACAUUGGAUAAUCUACUCCUAGAACCUUCCCUGUGGUCAACAUCAUGAGUUUAUUUCACCAAACAACAUUGUUUACACUGAAUCUUAUUUUCUUGUAAACACUUGGAGUUUAUAACCAUUAAGUUUGGUGAUUCUGCUAGGAAUGAAAGAAAACAGAAUUCAAGAAAGAUAUUCAUUGCAUCAGAUAGUGGGCAUAUUCAUCUUUUUAAUAGAUGGCACAAGAA